RNAcentral lists this ribosomal RNA (441 nucleotides) under uncultured bacterium. Its description in RNAcentral is "bacterial SSU rRNA". It matches the Rfam family "Bacterial small subunit ribosomal RNA", at positions 57 to 518 of the family's 1533-position model. The record is from RNAcentral.
GCAAGUCGAACGUACUCCCUUCGGGGAGAAAGUAGGCGAAAGGGUGAGUAACACGUGAGCAACCUGCCUCCGGAUCCGGAAUAAUCCAGGGAAACUUGGUCUAAAACCGGAAUGAAGACGAUUGGGCCGCAUGGUCUAAUGUUAAAAUAUUUAUAGUCCGGAGAGGGGCUCGCGGCCCAUUAGCUUGUUGCGGGGUAAUGGCCACCAAGGCUACGACGGGUAGGUGGUCUGAGAGGAUGGUCACCCACACUGGGACUGAGACACUGCCCAGACUCCUACGGGAGGCUGCGGUCGAGAAUCUUCCGCAAUGGGCGCAAGCCUUGAUGGAGCGAUGCCGCGUGAGGGAUGAAGGCCUUCGGGUUGUAAACCUCUGUCAUCCGGGACGAAAACAAUGACGGUACCGGAAAAGGAAGCCACGGCUAACCACGUGCCAGCAGCUGC